Molecule: ribosomal RNA, 253 nt
Filed under: uncultured bacterium
Lineage: Bacteria
Description: partial 16S ribosomal RNA
Rfam family: Bacterial small subunit ribosomal RNA
Source: RNAcentral
GACGAGCCACCCAAACGUUAUUCGGAAUUACUGGGCUUAAAGGGUGCGUAGGCGGUGCGGAAAGUAGGGUGUGUAAUCCCUCGGCUCAACCGAGGAACAGCGCUCUAAACUACCGUGCUUGAGGGAGAUAGAGGUAAGCGGAACUUCGGGUGGAGCGGUGAAAUGCGUUGAUAUCCGGAGGAACACCGGUGGCGAAGGCGGCUUCCUGGACCGACACUGACGCUGAGGCGCGAAAGCUAGGGGAGCAAACGGG